This 297-nucleotide ribosomal RNA is filed under the name Leptalpheus pereirai. RNAcentral's name for it is "partial small subunit ribosomal RNA". The record is from RNAcentral. Lineage: Eukaryota; Metazoa; Arthropoda; Malacostraca; Decapoda; Alpheidae.
AUACCUGGAGUAGUAAAAAGAUAUGAGCUCGAAACUUAAAGAAUUUGGCGGUAUCUAAGUCUAGUUAGAGGAACCUGUGCUUUAAACGAUAAACCACGAAUAUCUUGUUUUGUCUUGGAAACGCAGUACGUAUACCGCCAUUACAGGUAAUCCUUAGAGGGGUUUAUUGAGAUAAGCUAUGAGCUUAGGAUAUUAGGUCAAGGUGCGGCUUAUGACAAAGUAGACAUGGGUUACAUUGUGAUUAGUGAGGGCGGAUGGGUCUAGGAAUGUAUAGGUCUUGAAGGUGGAUUUAAUAGU